Molecule: small RNA, 548 nt
Filed under: Pongo abelii (Sumatran orangutan)
Lineage: Eukaryota; Metazoa; Chordata; Mammalia; Primates; Hominidae
Description: processed transcript
Source: RNAcentral
GUAUUUGGAUUCUGUCUGGGUGAUUCUGGAAACCCCAGUUGUUUCUGUGUCUGAAUGAGUUACUUUUUCAGUUUAUUUGCCUCCUCUUUGUGAUUUUAAAAUAUUUAAAUCGUUUUCUAAAAUGUUAUUCUGGGGCAUUUCUAUUGCUUUGAGGAGGAGCACAGGAAGAAAGAAGAAGCGCUGCAGGUUGCCUGGUGUUGACUCUGUCUUAAAAGGCCUCCCCACUGAAGAAAAAGAUGAAAAUGAUGAAAACUCAUUAAGCAGUUCCUCUGACUGUAGUGAAAACAAGGAUGAAGAAAUAAGUGAAGAAAGUGAUAUUGAAGAAAAGACUGAAGUGAAAGAAGAACCAGAGCUUCAAACAAGAAGGGAAAUGGAAGAAAGAACAAUAACUAUAGAAAUCCCUGAAGUUCUGAAGAAGCAGCUGGAGGAUGAUUGUUACUACAUUAACAGGAGGAAACGGUUAGUGAAACUUCCAUGCCAGACCAACAUCAUAACGAUUUUGGAAUCCUAUGUGAAGCAUUUUGCUAUCAAUGCAGCCUUUUCAGCCA